RNAcentral lists this ribosomal RNA (406 nucleotides) under uncultured bacterium. RNAcentral's name for it is "partial 16S ribosomal RNA". It matches the Rfam family "Bacterial small subunit ribosomal RNA", at positions 30 to 526 of the family's 1533-position model. The record is from RNAcentral.
AUUGAACGCUGGCGGCAGGCCUAACACAUGCAAGUCGAACGAGUGGCGGACGGGUGAGUAAUGUCUGGGAAACUGCCCGAUGGCGGGGGAUAAUUACUGGAAACGGUAGCUAAUACCGCAUACCAUCAGAUGUGCCCAGAUGGGAUUAGCUAGUGGGUUGGGUAACGGCUCACCAAGGCGACGAUCCCUAGCUGGGCUGAGAGGAGGACCAGCCACACUGGAACUGAGACACGGUCCAGAUCCCUACGGGAGGCAGCAGUGGGGAGUAUUUCACAAUGGGCGCAAGCCUGAGGCAGCCAUGCCGCGUGUAUGAAGAAGGCCUUCGGGUUGUAAAGUACUUUCAGCGAGGAGGCGUUACUCGCAGAAGAAGCACCGGCUAACUCCGUGCCAGCAGCCGCGGUAAUAC